AUAGUUUAUUGCUUUCUGGGAUCCUUGGGAUAUCCAUGCCCUAAACCCUAACCUCAACUGUUACCUUAAUUUAACCGUGUUGAAUUUGAAUAGCAAUGUAGUGACGUCAGAGUGUGGACACCCGAAGGAUCCCACUUAGAUCCUUGCUUGAUAGUCAGUAAACGCCCGCGCUAUAAAACCAGUGUUUGAUAGAGUGCCAUUCAAAAGAACGCAGUUGUGAAUUCAUUAUAAUGUGCCUGUAUAAACUCGUAUACCUUACCUUAUUGAGACAAAACUGAGUUAAUUUUGUAUUACUAGAAUGGAUGUGGAAUGUUCACGAAGAGCGCGCAAAGAAGUCGCUUUGAUUGAUUCAUCGGAUCUUGAAUAAAUCAAGCCUACAAUCCGGAUGUUUGAUGCUGGCUCUGGCAGACAAUAACUUUCCAUGGGUUUUACAGAGAGAGGACAGGAGACCCUCUCCGUCAGCAACACCAAGAUCACGACCAGGAGAAGAACACGUUCAGCUGAGACCUUCAGGGGAGCGUUAUCCGACAAGAACUCACACUCUCUCUGCUAUGAGCUGCCUGUGAGGUUGUCAUGAGUAAUUGGGCUGAAGUCACCCUUGCUAGUGGAGGAAGAAGAAUUCAUCUGAGAUGUCUCAUGUUCGAUCGCCCCUAACUGAACCCUCAUCCUGGAAUAAUACUUAGCACCUGGUCAGGAAACAGCUGUGGGCUGUCUAUAACACAGUCCAGGGCCCCUCAAAACACUACACCGUUGAAGGGGAAAAACGAAUCACAGAUUAAUUGAGAAUAGUCGUGUCCAAAAGUUUCCUCUGUUUUAAGCACCGUAUGUGGUGUUACAGUACCUGGUGUGCCUACAGCAACAUUUGGAGCAGUCAUGAUGGAUGAACCCUCCACUGCUCCUCCACACACCUCCAUCCCAUUAUAGAUGUGCCUUGACGGCAGAUGUGUCUCGAAGUCCCUCCUCUCUGACACCACCCAUCCCCCUCCACACAGCUCUGUUCCAUCAGGUCUACAGCAUGUCUCGUACAGACUACAAACAUGGUUCCAUUCCUCAAAUGGACUACACAUAUGGCCCACCCUGCCCUAUGUAAGUUGAGAACUACAGGAAGAGACGCACAAUGUCCUAUUUGGACGAUGGGGAUAACAGCCGCAGAGGCCUGCCCAGUGUCCUAGAGUUGAGGCGGGUUCCUCUAUGGUCAUUGGGGCCCCUGAGGAGUGUCAGAAAGGUCAAGGUUAUCAGCUUCCUGCUAGGAUUGACGUUGACCUUCCUCAUCAUGGCAUCUUACAUCUUAACCUGGGAUAAAAAGGGUCUGAUGCUGACCCUGUCACCGUUCCACCUCAGGACUAUAGUCAACCCAAGCAGCACCCUCCCCCAUAACCUGUCUUCUACCAAGGACUACGCCAACAUUAAGCUCCUGGUGAAGUUCAUUACAUCUAAGCUUGAGUUCAGCCCAAGGAAGCUGCCUCUUCUGAAGGACGUUGUCAAUACGGACUCUCAUUUGUUUUCCGUUAUUCCUCGUCAGUUCCUCCCCAAUAUCAAGAGUCCAUGCUGGUAUGAGGAGCUCUCUGGGAAAACCAAAGUGGAUCCUUACAGUAAAAACUUGUAUGCAGUUCGCUCUAAGAGUUUCCGGACUGUCUGUGACUACCUAAGGAAACAUUUCCAGGAACACUUGUACCACAGUGACGACAAUAAGCAAUACCGCCUGCGCUGUCUGCCAUACUUCUACAUAAUUGGCCAGCCCAAAUGUGGCACAACGGACCUGUUUCACCGACUGCUGCUACACCCGGAGGUCAAGUUCACCACCAUGAAAGAGCCCCACUGGUGGACAAGGAAAAGGUUUGGUAUCAUCCAUCUUAAAGAUGGCCUCCUAGAACGCUUCCCUGUGGAGGAUUACCUGGACCUGUUUGAACUGGCUGCCUACCACAUCCAGGAGGGAAUACUGGGGAAUACCUCUGUAGACCACAACCAGCGACACAUUAUUACAGGUGAAGCAAGCGCAUCCACAAUGUGGGACAACCAAGCCUGGAGCUAUCUCUAUAACUACCGGGCAGAUGGGGAGCCUCCUUUCCUGGCCCAGGACUUCAUCCACGCAGUUCAGCCCAACGCUAAAAUCAUUGUCAUGCUCAGAGACCCAGUAGAGAGGUUAUAUUCAGACUACCUGUACUUCAACAUGGCUAACAAGUCUGUGGAGGACUUUGACCUGAGGGUCUCAGAAUCCCUACAGCUGUUUGAGGCUUGUUUAGCAGAAAACUCUGUGCGUUCCUGUGUCUACAACACAAGCCUCUCCAAUGCCAUGACGGUCCACAUUGGGGAGCUGUCUGACAAAAUCAUUUGACCAGUUCUUCAAGUACAGUGAGCUCCAGCAGUAUUGGGACAGUGACAGUUGUUUUGUUGUUUUGGCUCUGUACUCCAGCACUUUGGAUGUAAUUACACAAACUAUGAAGUUAAAGUGCAGACUGACAGCUUUAAUUUGAGGGUAUUUUCCAUUUAGGAAUUACAGUGCUUUUUGUACAUAUUCCCCCCAUUUUAGGGGACCAAAAGUAUUGGUACAAAAUCACUUACAUGUGUAUUAAAGUAGUAAAAAGUUAAGUAUUUGGUCCCAUAUUCAUAGCACGCAAUGACUACAUCAAGAACAGAAUGUUUCUAAACCCUUUUACAUUUAUGUGGAUGCUGCCUUGAUUAUGAAUAAUCCUGAAUGAAUUGUGAAUUGUGAAUAAUCCUCCACUGUUAUUGUAAUGGUGAGAUAUUAGCAUGUCUUGGGGUAUGAUGUUGGUGUGUAACUUUCUCACUCAUUAUUCACAAUUCAUUCAUGAUUAUACAUAAUCCUGGUACUGCAGCAUCCACAUUAAUGUAGAAGUGUUUAGAAAUGUAUUCUUAAUCUUAUUUACAAUAAAAGGGACUCAAAAAUGACUCUGUACAUUAUCUACCAUUAAUUUCUAUUGGGCACAAUUAAUCUGAAACACAACCAAAACAAACAGCAAAUGUAUCACGUUUUAGGGAAGACCCAGAUGCAGACAGUGUCGAAGUAACAAAAGUUUAUUACUAGAACAUGGACGGACAAAACGACAGGUCAAGGUCAGGCAGAGGUCAGUAAUCCAGAUCAGAGUCAAAAGGUACCGAACGGCAGGCAUGCUCAGGGUCAGGGCAAGCAGAGGUCAAUAAUCCAGAUCAGAGUCAAAAGGUACCGAACGGCAGGCAGGCUCAGGGUCAGGGCAAGCAGAGGUCAAUAAUCCAGAUCAGAGUCAAAAGGUACUGAACGGCAGGCAGGCUCAGGGUCAGGGCAAGCAGAGGUCAAUAAUCCAGAUCAGAGUCAAAAGGUACUGAACGGCAGGCAGGCUCAGGGUCAGGGCAAGCAGAGGUCAAUAAUCCAAGGCGGUGUGACAAGGUACCGAACGGCAGGCAGGCUCAGGGUCAGGGCAAGCAGAGGUCAAUAAUCCAGAUCAGAGUCAAAAGGUACUGAACGGCAGGCAGGCUCAGGGUCAGGGCAAGCAGAGGUCAAUAAUCCAGAUCAGAGUCAAAAGGUACUGAACGGCAGGCAGGCUCAGGGUCAGGGCAAGCAGAGGUCAAUAAUCCAAGGCGGUGUGACAAGGUACCGAACGGCAGGCAGGCUCAGGGUCAGGGCAAGCAGAGGUCAAUAAUCCAGAUCAGAGUCAAAAGGUACUGAACGGCAGGCAGGCUCAGGGUCAGGGCAAGCAGAGGUCAAUAAUCCAGAUCAGAGUCAAAAGGUACUGAACGGCAGGCAGGCUCAGGGUCAGGGCAAGCAGAGGUCAAUAAUCCAGAUCAGAGUCAAAAGGUACUGAACGGCAGGCAGGCUCAGGGUCAGGGCAAGCAGAGGUCAAUAAUCCAGAUCAGAGUCAAAAGGUACUGAACGGCAGGCAGGCUCAGGGUCAGGGCAAGCAGAGGUCAAUAAUCCAAGGCGGUGUGACAAGGUACCGAACGGCAGGCAGGCUCAGGGUCAGGGCAAGCAGAGGUCAAUAAUCCAGAUCAGAGUCAAAAGGUACUGAACGGCAGGCAGGCUCAGGGUCAGGGCAAGCAGAGGUCAAUAAUCCAGAUCAGAGUCAAAAGGUACUGAACGGCAGGCAGGCUCAGGGUCAGGGCAAGCAGAGGUCAAUAAUCCAGAUCAGAGUCAAAAGGUACUGAACGGCAGGCAGGCUCAGGGUCAGGGCAAGCAGAGGUCAAUAAUCCAAGGCGGUGUGACAAGGUACCGAACGGCAGGCAGGCUCAGGGUCAGGGCAAGCAGAGGUCAAUAAUCCAGAUCAGAGUCAAAAGGUACUGAACGGCAGGCAGGCUCAGGGUCAGGGCAAGCAGAGGUCAAUAAUCCAGAUCAGAGUCAAAAGGUACUGAACGGCAGGCAGGCUCAGGGUCAGGGCAAGCAGAGGUCAAUAAUCCAAGGCGGUGUGACAAGGUACCGAACGGCAGGCAGGCUCAGGGUCAGGGCAAGCAGAGGUCAAUAAUCCAGAUCAGAGUCAAAAGGUACUGAACGGCAGGCAGGCUCAGGGUCAGGGCAAGCAGAGGUCAAUAAUCCAGAUCAGAGUCAAAAGGUACUGAACGGCAGGCAGGCUCAGGGUCAGGGCAAGCAGAGGUCAAUAAUCCAGAUCAGAGUCAAAAGGUACUGAACGGCAGGCAGGCUCAGGGCACCAAGAAUGGUCAAAACUGGGAAAACUAGAAAACAGGAUGUUUUUUUGUUUUUUAUUUCACCUUCAUUUAACCAGGUAGGCUAGUUGAGAACAAGUUCUCAUUUGCAACUGCGACCUGGCCAAGAUAAAGCAAAGCAGUGUGACACAGACAACAACACAGAGUUACACAUGGAGUAAACAAUAAACAAGCCAAUAAUACAAACAAGUCAAUGACACAGUAGAAAAAAUAAAGUCUAUAUACAGUGUGUGCAAAAGGUAGGCAAUAAAUAGGCCAUAGGAGCGAAUAAUUACAAUUUAGCAGAUUAACACUGGAGCGAUAAAUAAGCAGAUGAUGAUGUGCAAGUAGGGAUACUGGUGUGCAAAAGAGCAGAAAAGUAAAUAAAAUAAAAACAGUAUGGGGAUGAGGUAGGUAGAUUGGGUGGGCUAUUUACAGAUGGACUAUGUACAGCUGCAGUGAUCGGUUAGCUGCUCAGAUAGUUGAUGUUUAAAGAGGGAAAUAAAAGUCUCCAACUUCAGCGAUUUUUGCAAUUCGUUCCAGUCACUGGCAGCAGAGAACUGGAAGGAAAGGCGGCCAAAGGAGGUGUUGGCUUUGGGGAUGAUCAGUGAGAUAUACCUGCUGGAACGUGUACUACGUGUGGGUGUUGUUAUCGUGACCAGUGAACUGAGAUAAGGCGGAGCUUUACCUAGCAUAGACUUAUAGAUGACCUGGAGACAGUGGGUCUGGCGACGAAUAUGUAGCGGGGGACAGCCGACGAGAGCAUAUAGGUCGCAGUGGUGGGUGGUAUAAGGUGAUUUGGUAACAAAACGGAUGGCACUGCAGCAAACUGCAUCCAGUUUGCUGCAUCUACUGAGUAGAGUGUUGGAAGCUAUUUUGUAGAUGACAUCGCCGAAGUCGAGGAUCAGUAGGAUAGUCAGUUUUACUAGGGCAAGUUUGGUGGCGUGAGUGAAGGAGGCUUUGUUGCGAAAUAGAAAGCCGAUUCUAGAUUUGAUUUUGGAUUGGAGAUGUUUAAUAUGAGUCUGGAAGGAGAGUCUACAGUCUAGCCAGACACCUAGGUAUUUAUAGUUGUCCACAUAUUCUAGGUCGGAACCGUCUAGGGUGGUGAUGCUAGUCGGGCGGGCGGGUGCGGGCAGCGAAUGGUUGAAGAGCAUGCAUUUAGUUUUACUAGCGUUAAAGAGCAGUUGGAGGCCACGGAAGGAGUGUUGUAUGGCAUUGAAGCUCGUUUGGAGGUUAGUUAGCACAGUGUCCAAGGAAGGGCCAGAAAUACACAGAAUGGUGUCGUCUGCGUAGAGGUGGAUCAGGGAAUCGCCCGCAGCAAGAGCGACAUCAUUGAUAUAUACAGAGAAAAGAGUCGGCCCGAGAAUUUAACCUUGGCCAGGUCGAUGAAGACGGCUGCACAGUACUGUCUUUUAUCGAUGGCGAUUAUGAUAUUGUUUAGUACCUUGAGCAUGGCUGAGGUGCACCCGUGACCGGCUCGGAAGCCGGAUUGCACAACGGAGAUGGUACGGUGGGAUUCGAAAUGGUCAGUGAUCUGUUUAUUAACUUGGCUUUGGAAGACUUUAGAUAGGCAGGGCAGGAUGGAUAUAGGUCUGUAACAGUUUGGGUCUAGGGUGCCUUUGAAGAGGGGGAUGACCGCGGCAGCUUUCCAAUCUUUAGGGAUCUGGGACGAUACGAAAGAGAGGUUGAACAGGCUGGUAAUAGGGGUUGCAACAAUGGCGGCGGAUAGUUUUAGAAAGAGAGGGUCCAAAUUGACAAGCCCAGCUGAUUUGUACGGGUCCAGGUUUUGCAGCACUUUCAGAACAUCUGCUGCCUGGAUUUGGUUGAAAGAGAAGCUGGGGAGGCUUGGGCGAGUAGCUUCGGGAGGGGGGAGCUGUUGGCCGGGGUUUGAGUAGCCAUGAGGAAGGCAUGGCCAGCCGUUGAGAAAUGCUUAUUGAAAUGUUCGAUGAUCAUGGAUUUAUCAGUGGUUACCGUGUUACCUAGCCUCAGUGCAGUUGGCAGCUGGGAGGACUUGCUCUUGUUCUCCAUGGACUUUACAGUGUCCCAAAACAUUUUGGGGUUAGAGCUACAGGUUUUGAAUUUCUGCUUGAAAAAUCUAGCCUUUGCUUUCCUGACUGACUGCGUGUAUUGGUUCCUGACUUCCCUGAACACUUGCAUAUCGUGGGGACUAUUCGAUGCUAUGGCAGUCCGCCACAGGAUGUUUUUGUGCUGGUCAAGGGCAGUCAGGUCAGGAGUGAACCAAGGGCUAUAAUCUGUUCUUAGUUCUGCAUUUUUUCUAUGAUGGUGAGGAAAUUACUUUUAAAGAAUGACCAGGCAUCCUCAACUGACGGGAUGAGGUCAAUAUCCUUCCAGGAUACCCGGGCCAGGUCGAUUUAGAAAGGCCUGCUCGCAGAAGUGUUUUAGGGAGCGUUUGACAGUGAUGAGGGGUGGUCGUUUGACCGCGGACCCAUAGCGGAUACAGGCAAUGAGGCAGUGAUUGCUGAGAUCCUGAUUGAAAACAGCGGAGGUGUAUUUGGAGGGUAAGUUGUUCAGGAUAAUGUCUAUGAGGGUGCCCAUGUUUAUGGAUUUAGGGUUGUACCUGAUGGGUUCCUUGAUGAUUUGUGUGAGAUUGAGGGCAUCUAGCCUGGUGGGAGGAGACAAGCACAAAAACAGGUGUAACAGAUCAGGGUGUGGCAAAAUGCAGUCAAUCAAAUUGAAACUGACAGUCUGCACUUAACCUCAUAGUCAUUGUAUUAUAUCAGUACUGGAGUACAGAGCCAAAACAACAAAAAUGGUCACUGUCCCAAUACUUUCAAGACUGCUUAUUACCAACUACUACAACUAUCAAUGCAGUAGAGCUACCUCAAAAACUUCCUCUAUCCCUCUCAUCAUUGUGUUGUGUACAUUCCUCUCUCAUGCGUUCUGUGUGUAGGCUAUCCGCCUCUGUCAGAGCCGGGAAGAACAGGCACAAUGGAUAAUGGUAAUUGUAGUUAAUCACCAUGUUUCUCUUCUGAACUAGGUUGAAUAUUUGCCUAAUGAAAACUACAACUAAAAUGUGCAUGUAAUCCAGCGUCCCACAUAGUUCUUGACUUAAUUUCUCUCUUGAAUUAUUUGAUUUCUCUCUAGAGAAACAGAGUGUUGAGCUCACAAAAAAACAAACUAAAUGGAAUUCAAGUAAUUGAACCGACGUUGGUCAAUCGGUUGUUUGAUAACACACCCCCCCCAGCACUACCGUAGGUGUUCAAGGUAAAUGCAUUGGAAUGCAUAUCCUGUUGUAUCACUGUUCUUGGUGGAUAGUGUGUUGUCUAGAUGGAAACAUAAGACAAUUGUGCAAAAGCAAGAAUAAACACUUAGUUCGACUGCAUUUAUUAAGAGGUCUGAUUAUGUAAACAAAGUGCAUACAAAGUUAAGCAGAGAUGGCUUUGUCUAUGCCAAAUUGUAUUUCUUAACUAAAUUGAUUCCAUGCCAAAUUGCGAUCCAUAACUCAGGACUUUUUUUCCCAUGCCUAAUAGAAUUUGUUAUUCAAAUCACGGCCACUUCCUGGAAGAUGGUGAAAAUGUGCUGUGACAUAUGCCUCAGUAGAUCUACUGACUUGAUAACUGAUUAACUAAUCAAGAACUGUGAAGUUUCCUUUCAGAACAGAUUCGACUGAGAUGCAGUUACUGUAAGUCAUUUAGGAAGUAGUUGUCUCUGGAAAUAUUGGCAUUUAUUUCCAGAAAUUCUUAUUACUGUUUUAACUAUUUUACAACCCUGAAAUGGAUAUUGGCUCAGUUUUAUACAGGCACAGUAUGUAUGCUUUGUUUAGUUUAUUUGGAUCCACUUUCAGCAGCUACUCUUCCUGGGGUCCACAAGUUUUAAUGCUGUAAACAUUUCCUUACUUGGGUGCAGCUGUCAUAGCCUGGGGCACAGCUAGUUUACAUAGGAAAAGCACAAAUCUAGAUACCUACUGCCAGAGAUGUCCACUACUGUUCACACUGUUCUACAUACAUCUCAGCCUGAUUUGUGGUAGUAAUGUCAUUGUAUUGGUGCCAACAUGGGACUCAGAGUUCCGUGUGUACCUAUUAAGGCACAUAUUUUCUAAGUAAAAUGCAUUUGACGUUCAGCAACGUGAAUGUCAUUGUCAACCGACAUGAAUGUUGACCUACAGUAGCUCCCUGUUUACAUUGCACUUCUGAAUCCAUGCUGUUGAGCUUAUGAUCAUUUUUAAAAUAUGUAAAGUUCAUCAUCUCAGAAGGUGCCACUUCUCUUUUUGCUGCAUCUGCAGAGACAUAAUUACUUUUGUCGGUUGGUCUCUAGCACUCCCUGCAGGUUAGCUUGUGUACUGUUAACAGGAGUCAUAGCAUGUAGCUUGUUCUCCACCUUCACAAUGAAGCCGUAGUAGAAGAGUUAUGGAAAUCAUAUGGAAGUCUUACCUGCAGUGUUUGUUGUGAUCCUCUCCAGGUCAGACUGAACCUAGGACUGUAUAGUGUCUUCCUGCUGGACUGGUUGACUGUCUUCCAUAGAGAUCAGAUCCUAGUUCUGCAGUUAGAAGAUUACGCUGCCAAUCUGAGACUCACCAUACGUAAAGUCUUUGACUUC
This is an RNA transcript of Oncorhynchus keta (chum salmon), 9189 nucleotides long. It is a transcript of the gene named carbohydrate sulfotransferase 15-like, with no coding region annotated. The record is from RefSeq and is a predicted model, not a curated record. Lineage: Eukaryota; Metazoa; Chordata; Actinopteri; Salmoniformes; Salmonidae. The transcript has 10 exons.